Molecule: ribosomal RNA, 492 nt
Filed under: uncultured bacterium
Lineage: Bacteria
Description: partial 16S ribosomal RNA
Rfam family: Bacterial small subunit ribosomal RNA
Source: RNAcentral
AGUGAACGCUGGCGGUAGGCCUAACACAUGCCAGUCGAACGGCAGCACAGUAAGAGCUUGCUCUUACGGGUGGCGAGUGGCGGACGGGUGAGGCAUACAUCGGAAUCUACUUUUUCGUGGGGGAUAACGUAGGGAAACUUACGCUAAUACCGCAUACGACCUACGGGUGAAAGCAAGGGAUCUUCGGACCUUGCGCGAUUGAAUGAGCCGAUGUCGGAUUAGCUAGUUGGCGAGGUAAAGGCCCACCAAGGCGACGAUCCGUAGCUGGUCUGAGAGGAUGAUCAGCCACACUGGAACUGAGACACGGUCCAGACUCCUACGGGAGGCAGCAGUGGGGAAUAUUGGACAAUGGGCGCAAGCCUGAUCCAGCCAUACCGCGUGGGUGAAGAAGGCCUUCGGGUUGUAAAGCCCUUUUGUUGGGAAAGAAAAGCAGCAGGUUAAUACCCCGCUGUUCUGACGGUACCCAAAGAAUAAGCACCGGCUAACUUCGUG